GACGAACGCUGGCGGCGUGCUUAACACAUGCAAGUCGAACGGAAAGGCCCUGCUUUUGUGGGGUGCUCGAGUGGCGAACGGGUGAGUAACACGUGAGUAACCUGCCCUUGACUUUGGGAUAACUUCAGGAAACUGGGGCUAAUACCGGAUAGGAGCUCCUGCUGCAUGGUGGGGGUUGGAAAGUUUCGGCGGUUGGGGAUGGACUCGCGGCUUAUCAGCUUGUUGGUGGGGUAGUGGCUUACCAAGGCUUUGACGGGUAGCCGGCCUGAGAGGGUGACCGGCGACAUUGCGACUGAGAUACGGCCCAGACUCCUACGGGAGGCAGCGGUGGGGAAUAUUGCAGAAUGGGCGGAAGCCUGAUGCAGCAGCGCCGGGUGCGGAAUGACGGCUUUCGGGUUGUAAACCGCUUUCGCCUGUGACGAAGCGUGAGUGACGGUAAUGGGUAAAGAAGCACCGGCUAACUACGUG
This 468-nucleotide ribosomal RNA is filed under the name uncultured bacterium. Its description in RNAcentral is "partial 16S ribosomal RNA". It matches the Rfam family "Bacterial small subunit ribosomal RNA", at positions 28 to 507 of the family's 1533-position model. The record is from RNAcentral.